GGGGCUGCAAUACUUCGCACCCCGGAGCGGGGACGGGGUCUGGAAGCGGCAGCCCCGGGCCCGGCCAGGGGCCGCCCGGCGCUGUCCUGCCCGGCUUGCUUCUCCUCGCAGCAGACGGCGCCGCGGCCGUAACUCCGAUGGAUCUCUUCCCCCUCCCCUGGAUGUCAAUUAUUUCUGCAAGAAAUUUCCAAGAGAGUUGUGGCUUCCUCCCUGCUGUAUUCUGCUGGCCAUACAGAUUUUGACCCUGUUGAGAUGAAGAGAAAUGUGAAUUACAAGAUGCCUCCAUUUUGAUAGUAGCUGGUGUCUUCAUUGAUGUAAGUUGUCUCCCAACUGUAGUAGAUGGGAAGAAUGAUUUUUAUAUCACGCUUUUUAUGCUGAACUUUGCUGCCCUAAUGGCUGUAAAUAAACCCCAUGGGGUUUGCACUGACUGAUGUGUCACACACACGCCACUGUAAGCUGCCAAAAUACAUCCUGGUAGAAAGUUUCUUGGACUUGUAUGUUUUGCUCUUUAGUGAAAAGACCUGGUUAAUUUUUAUUUAACUUUGCUACACUAACUCGGGUUGAAAUAAAGUUCAGUCUUAACUUACGUGUAUGAUUUGUGGUGACUUAUGAAUUACAUUGGAGAAAUAUUUCCAAAAGUCCUGGGUACAAUAUUUUCUAAAUAGACUUAAAUAUUUUGAAGGGAAACUUCAAAGUUUCUAAGUUGAGUGCUUGAUUUCAAAGUGGAAAAUUAAAGUUCACCUCUUACAGAUGGCAGCUGUUGACAGAAUGUGCUUGCUUUCGUCUUCUGCUACUCCCACACCUGUAUCAUGUAAAAAUUAUCAAUUUUUUCUCUUUGGAGCAAAAGUAGAUGUACUUGACACUUGGUUUAAGCAGGGACUUCACAUCUCUAAUUUAUAUAUCUAAAACAGUCACAGACUUCAGGGGAACCACUGGGAGCAAAGAGCCUCUCCCCUGAGGCACUAAAUACAUAAGAAUCCUGAAGCCUUCUCUAUCCUAGCUAUAGGGAUCUGUUCCUAAACUGGAUUACUGACGAUUUCUGCCAGUGGGCAGUGGCCCAUGCUUUCAUCUUUUCAAAGCCAGAGGUUUGGGGAUGUUGUGCUUUUAAUCAUCAUCCUUUUCCUCAGCUCUUCCUAUCCCUUCAGAUUCCUCAGUUUACCAAAGUCUGAUUGCAGAGGCUUGUGAUGGGGAGGUCAAUACUAUAAGAUCCAAAUCACAUCUUGCCAUUAAAGGAAGAGGUCCUGGUGCAGAAGAAGCUUUUAUCAAGGCAUUGAUAAAAGUCAUUGAAAUUCUAUAGAACAAACUCAGUAAAUAUACAAGCGAAAUA
Long non-coding RNA from Motacilla alba alba, 1327 nucleotides. RefSeq lists it as uncharacterized. The transcript has 3 exons. Lineage: Eukaryota; Metazoa; Chordata; Aves; Passeriformes; Motacillidae. The record is from RefSeq and is a predicted model, not a curated record.